UGAAUACGAGAUGCUACGGCGUCGAAGCAGUCUAUGUCAUACUUCCAAGAAAAGCUUGCACUGUCAUAAACAAAUAAUGCCUGUACCAUAACCGACACAGGUGGGUAGGUAGAGUAUACUAAGGGGCGCGAGAUAACUCUCUCUAAGGAACUCGGCAAAAUGACUCCGUAACUUCGGGAGAAGGAGUGCCUUAUUUAUAAGGUUGCAAUAACAAGAUCCAAGCAACUGUUUAUCAAAAACACAGGUCUCCGCUAAGUCGUAAGACGAUGUAUGGGGGCUGACGCCUGCCCAGUGCCAGAAGGUUAAAGAAGUUGGUUAGUGUAUGCGAAGCUGAUGACUGAAGCCCUGGUGAACGGCGGCCGUAACGAUAACGGUCCUAAGGUAGCGAAAUUCCUUGUCGGGUAAGUUCCGACCCGCACGAAAGGCGUAAUGAUUUGGAUACUGUCUCGGAGAGAGGCUCGGUGAAAUAGACUUGUCUGUGAAGAUGCGGACUACCUGCACCAGGACAGAAAGACCCUAUGAAGCUUUACUGUAACUUGAAAUUGGAAUUGGACUUUGCUUGCGCAGUAUAGGUGGGAAGCGUUGAAGAUAUUCUUGCGGGAGUAUUGGAGCUAUCAGUGAGAUACCACUCUUGUAAUGUUAGAUUUCUAACUUUGAACCAUAAUCUGGUCAAAGAACAGUUUCAGGUGGGCAGUUUGACUGGGGCGGUCGCCUCCCAAAUGGUAACGGAGGCGUACAAAGGUUUCCUCUGAACGGAUAGAAAUCGUAUCUAGAGUGUAAAGGCAUAAGGAAGCUUGACUGUGAGACCUACAAGUCGAGCAGGGACGAAAGUCGGUCUUAGUGAUCUGACGGUACUGAGUGGAAAGGCCGUCACUCAACGGAUAAAAGUUACUCUAGGAUAACAGGCUGAUCUCCCCCAAGAGUUCACAUCGACGGGGAGGUUUGGCACCUCGAUGUCGGCUCAUCGCAUCCUGGGGCGGUAGUACGUCCCAAGGGUUGGGCUGUUCGCCCAUGAAAGCGGUACGCGAGCUGGGUUCAGAACGUCGUGAGACAGUUCGGUCCAUAUCCGGUGUAGGCGUUAGAAUAUUGAGAGGAGCCUUCUUUAGUACGAGAGGACCGAGAAGGACACACCGCUGGUGUACCAGUUAUCGUGCCAACGGUAAACGCUGGGUAGCUAUGUGUGGAGUGGAUAACCGCUGAAAGCAUCUAAGUGGGAAGCCCACCUCAAGAUGAG
RNAcentral lists this ribosomal RNA (1234 nucleotides) under metagenome. RNAcentral describes it as "bacterial LSU rRNA". It matches the Rfam family "Bacterial large subunit ribosomal RNA", at positions 1564 to 2808 of the family's 2925-position model. The record is from RNAcentral.